Molecule: ribosomal RNA, 727 nt
Filed under: uncultured Capnodiales
Lineage: Eukaryota; Fungi; Ascomycota; Dothideomycetes; Capnodiales
Description: eukaryotic LSU rRNA
Rfam family: 5.8S ribosomal RNA (bases 365-518)
Source: RNAcentral
CCACGGGAGGCCCACUUCCGGCCCACCGAAGCAACAAAAAUCACACACACACAACAUUCAAAGGCCGAGGCACCCAGGUCCCCCACCCUACCCCCCGUAUGACCCUUCCGUCGGCGAACCUGCGGAAGGAUCAUUACAGAGUUAGGGUGUGCCCUCCGGGUGCCCCGACCUCCCAACCCUUCCUUCCGUAGGUGAACCUGCGGAGGGAUCAUUAACGAGUUAGGGCCCUCAGGCCCGAUCUCCAACCCUUUGUUUUCAUAACCUCGUUGCCUCGGGGGUGGCCCUGCCUCACGGCGGGUCCCCCGGAGGACCACUACAACUCUGCAUUUGAAUGUCGUCUGAGUAAGAUUUUUAAUGAAAUCAAAACUUUCAACAACGGAUCUCUUGGUUCUGGCAUCGAUGAAGAACGCAGCGAAAUGCGAUAAGUAAUGUGAAUUGCAGAAUUCAGUGAAUCAUCGAAUCUUUGAACGCAUAUUGCGCCCCUUGGUAUUCCUUGGGGCACACCUGUUCGAGCGUCAUUUCACCAAUCAAGCCUCGCUUGGUAUUGGGCGAUGCGCAUGCCGCACGCCCCAAAUGCACCGGCCGAGCGUGCUCUCCCCCGGCGUCGUGGAGACAUAUCGCCAUGGGGAUGGGACCGCCCUCGCGCCGCAAAAACCUCUUUUAAAGGUUGACCUCGGAUCAGGUGGGGAUACCCGCUGAACUUAAGCAUAUCAAUAAGGCGGAGGAA